This is a long non-coding RNA of Pezoporus occidentalis (night parrot), 1305 nucleotides long. RefSeq lists it as uncharacterized. The record is from RefSeq and is a predicted model, not a curated record. The transcript has 2 exons. Lineage: Eukaryota; Metazoa; Chordata; Aves; Psittaciformes; Psittacidae.
UGCUGUUGAAAAGAUAGCUGGAAGAGAGUUGGGCAUAUGAACAAUUUGGAGAGUUGGAUGUGCAACAAUCUUAGGGGCAGCAGCCUUCAUGCGCUGAAAGCUGCAUGUGCUACUCAUUAAGUAACUCAGAUUCUGACUAAUUAUUAUCAGAUUAUUCACUUCUGAGCAAAUAAGAUUAUUUACAAGGAAAGCCCAAGUGGUUUCCUGGCUAAAAAGGGGCCAUCAUUUUUUGCUGCAAGCAGCUGUCUCCUAAAGCAGCUUUUGCAUGUGUGAACAGCCAGCUAUUGUUUUGCUGAUUCUAAGCAAACUGUGGCCAAGGCUGAACAGCUUCAUCAUUUCUUUGGAAAGGAUUGUACCCCUUUAAGAACACCAAGUGGGAGGUGAUAUAGGCACUGCCAUAAAAACAAGUACCUGUGCGGACUGCCCUGUUCUGCUCACCUGAGCCUUGCACAGCUGUCAGGACACUGCCCUCCUUGGUUUGUCUGGCAGGCUGAACAUCUCCAUCACACAGUUUUGCUGCCUGACAGCAGAAAAUGGACACCCAAACAAAGCAGCUUGAUUUUAUCUGCAAGACUAGAGGACACUGAGAAGCUUCAGACUAUUGACAUGGAGAAGAUCAUGGUGGAAACGAACCUGGCCCCUUGGGAAAUACUGCUGGUCAUAUUUGCUGCUGUGCUGAUAAUGAGUUUUCUCAUGUUUCUGCCCCCCACUGCAGUGGUGAUCUGGAGAAUGAAACAUGUACCACAGAUCUCGCUGCAUGGCUCAGUGUGAGCCAGACCUGGUACAAGCUGUAACACCACCGAUCCCUUUAAAGAAUGGUUCAGAAUAAUAACAUCUCUCAGGUUCAGGCACUUUUACUGCCCAGGAUCCAUCCAAAAGGAAUGGGUGUCCCAAUCUGUUACUGCUAUGUUCCUGUGAAAAGAGAACGUGUAUAAUUUUGUCUUCAUGUACUACAGUUCUCAACACUUUGACUUCCUUUUUUUGGCUAUGUUGUAAUUACUGUUGUUGGCUUAGUUCCUAGACAGACUCUUGUCUUGCAUUGUAAUGGACUGAAAACAAGACUGAAAGAGAAGUGAGCAUAAUACAGCAUUGUUUUUGCUUAAUUAAUAUCUGGGAAGACUCCUUUUCUACAGUUACGCCGUAAAUAUUACCAAAGCCUUUAGCUGAGAAGACUGCUACCUAUGCAAGUGUAUAUGCCAAAAUCAUGAAAUGUAUUCUAGGGAGGUAGUGCUUUACUCUGGUUGUAACAUGAAAUGUAACAAACCUGACAAGAAUGGCACAAUAAAUGAGCAUCUUGCAUUUCUU